Molecule: long non-coding RNA, 291 nt
Filed under: Hordeum vulgare
Lineage: Eukaryota; Viridiplantae; Streptophyta; Magnoliopsida; Poales; Poaceae
Description: long non-coding RNA (HVUL_LNC008124)
Source: RNAcentral
GGGGAAUGACAAGAUAAAUUGAAGAAGAAACCAGGCACAUGAACAUUUUGCUGGCCUGUAUUCCUUUACAAACUCACAAGAGUAGCUUCCUUUUGUAGAGUCUCCCUGAUUCUAUAUUGCUCCUUUCUUGUCUCGUCGACCAUGAUAUAUACACGAGCCUCCUCUUCAACUGAGUACAAGCAGCCUAUGAUGACACAAACUGAGUACUGAGCGCCAGUGCGCGACUCUGCCCUGGAGUAACACUCCUUUCUAAAACUUGGAAUGCAUCCAUAAAUAUUAGGAAUGCAACCC